Molecule: ribosomal RNA, 447 nt
Filed under: uncultured bacterium
Lineage: Bacteria
Description: partial 16S ribosomal RNA
Rfam family: Bacterial small subunit ribosomal RNA
Source: RNAcentral
AACGAACGCUGGCGGCAGGCUUAACACAUGCAAGUCGAACGCCCUGCAAGGGGAGUGGCAGACGGGUGAGUAACGCGUGGGAAUCUACCCAGUUCUACGGAACAACACAGGGAAACUUGUGCUAAUACCGUAUACGCCCUAAGGGGGAAAGAUUUAUCGGAAUUGGAUGAGCCCGCGUUGGAUUAGCUAGUUGGUGGGGUAAUGGCCUACCAAGGCGACGAUCCAUAGCUGGUCUGAGAGGAUGAUCAGCCACACUGGGACUGAGACACGGCCCAGACUCCUACGGGAGGCAGCAGUGGGGAAUAUUGGACAAUGGGCGCAAGCCUGAUCCAGCCAUGCCGCGUGAGUGAUGAAGGCCUUAGGGCUGUAAAGCUCUUUCAGUAGGGACGAUAAUGACGGUACCUACAGAAGAAGCCCCGGCUAACUUCGUGCCAGCAGCCGCCGCGA